GUCUACAGCCAUGCUACCCUGAACAAGCCCAAUCCCGUCUGAUCUUGGAAGCUAAGCAGGGUCAUGCCUGGUUAGUACUUGGACGGGAGACCACCUACGAAGACCAGGUGCUGUAGGUG
This 119-nucleotide ribosomal RNA is filed under the name Pteropus alecto (black flying fox). Lineage: Eukaryota; Metazoa; Chordata; Mammalia; Chiroptera; Pteropodidae. The record is from RNAcentral.